CAACAGAAAGCCUUCAGGCAGUGCAGGACUUUCUGAGUGUGUGCGUGCGCGCGUGCGUGUGUGUGUGUGUGUGUGUGUGUGUGUGUGUGUGUGGGCUAUGUUUGGAUUUCCAUGGAGGGCUACUAGUCUGCUACACACAGGAAACAGGUCAAUUUAAUAGGUUAAAGCUGUCACUCCACACAGACACACAAGUGUGUGUGUGUGUGUGUGUGUGUGUGUCAGGAAGCAGGGUGAAGAUGUGACCCAGCUUCUGUUUUUUUUCUUGUUUAGACUAAAACGGCACGUGGCUGGUUAAACGUUGAGCCGAGGAGCUUUUCUCUCUCCUUCUCUGUCCUUGUUCUGCCUCUGUCUCUAUCCGUCUCUUGUCUGUAUGCUUGAAGUGUGUGUGUGUGUGUGUGUGUGUAUGUGUGUGUGUUUUUGCAUACACUCUGCGUGCUGAGCUUCCCGCCCCCAAAAUGUAAAUUACGUAUGACAUGUCUAGUUGGUGCUUCCUAAUAUGGGGUGCGCUGCGUUUCAGCAGGAUCCUGCCAGCCACUCUAGGAUUCCACCGGGGCGUGUGAGACAGAGUGUGUGUGUGUGUGUGUGUGUGUGUGUGUGUGUGUGUAUGUGUGUAUUUGUGUCAGCGUGAGCGAGACCAUUAGUUGGAGGCUAGAGAGAGAGAGUGCAAGAGAGGGAAAGAGAUGUCUAUGCAUGGUUUUCGCUUCUCUUCGAGUGCGUCACUCCUCUCGAAAGACGCCAUUGAUGGAAAUCGAAUGCUCCAAGUCUAGACAUGAUUCUCCUUUAGUCAUCACAGUAAUGUUCACUGGGCUGAGCAGUGCAGGCAUUGGCCUGCUCACAGAGGAAUCUGACAACAAUGUUGACAAAUGCGGUGUAAAGGAAUAUACACACACUCACACACUCACACUUCCUGGUCCUGUGACCGUUAUCACUCCUACAGUUUAAGUUCCAAAGGUUCAUUGUGUUCGAAUCCUGGAAGUGGUUUAAAGUGUUGUUUUAAAGGCUCGUUCUGUACGUGUUGUGGUUCUGUCGUGUACGGGAACGUCAACAUUUGAGCGCGUGAGCAUGUGGCAAAUUCUAAAGACAACUUAAAGAGUUAGAGAGCACAUGCAUCUCUCUCAUUCUCUCUCUCUCUCUCUCUCUCUCUCUCUCUCUCUCUCUCUCUCUCUCUCUCCCUCCUGCUUGGCGCCAGGCCCAGAAUGCGGUUGCAACAUCGCUUGCUCUGAUUGGUUAGCUGACAUCAUGCAACACUUCUGAGAAAGGGGAAACGAACUCGCUGUCUUUCUUUCCACUUCUUUCUUUCCCCCCAACUGUCUCUCUCUAUCUCUUUCUGUAUCAAUCUCUACUUCUGUCUCUCUUUAAAUAGAUUUGCCAUGGCUUUACUGCCGAGUGCUGCACUGUAAGUGAUAUGCUAUUAGAGCUGAUUUCCCAGCGCUUGCACUGACGCUGGCGAAUUUACAUGGGGCUUCUUUGCGUGCGCGCAAGAGAGCUGAGAGGGAGAUGAGAAAGGAUGUGACAGAAUGAUUUAUUUGCCCUAGCUGAUGGCGUUAAGUAGACUGCUUUGCAUUUUUGGCAUUUUUGGGUGGGAAAAGAGUUUGUGCAGCUGGGCAGAGAGAUGAGUCUGAGACAGGGAGAGAGGGAUCGAGAGAAGGAAAUGAAGGAAUGUGAAAGAGGGGGAUUAAAGUGAGUAGCACGUGACUGUUUCAGUUCGCCAACACCACCAAAAGUGGCCUUUACGCCCUUUGUUAAGCGCCUGUACAUAACUGCAAGGUCACGACGAAAUGAUGCAUGAGUAAGCUAUUCAUUUUUCCUUCCCUUUU
Molecule: long non-coding RNA, 1817 nt
Organism: Ictalurus punctatus (channel catfish)
Lineage: Eukaryota; Metazoa; Chordata; Actinopteri; Siluriformes; Ictaluridae
Source: Ensembl